RNAcentral lists this ribosomal RNA (755 nucleotides) under Salmonella enterica. RNAcentral describes it as "partial 23S ribosomal RNA". It matches the Rfam family "Bacterial large subunit ribosomal RNA", at positions 2176 to 2925 of the family's 2925-position model. Lineage: Bacteria; Pseudomonadati; Pseudomonadota; Gammaproteobacteria; Enterobacterales; Enterobacteriaceae. The record is from RNAcentral. RNAcentral also lists the same sequence under 1 other name.
CUGCAUGGAGCCGACCUUGAAAUACCACCCUUUAAUGUUUGAUGUUCUAACGUGGACCCGUGAUCCGGGUUGCGGACAGUGUCUGGUGGGUAGUUUGACUGGGGCGGUCUCCUCCUAAAGAGUAACGGAGGAGCACGAAGGUUGGCUAAUCCUGGUCGGACAUCAGGAGGUUAGUGCAAUGGCAUAAGCCAGCUUGACUGCGAGCGUGACGGCGCGAGCAGGUGCGAAAGCAGGUCAUAGUGAUCCGGUGGUUCUGAAUGGAAGGGCCAUCGCUCAACGGAUAAAAGGUACUCCGGGGAUAACAGGCUGAUACCGCCCAAGAGUUCAUAUCGACGGCGGUGUUUGGCACCUCGAUGUCGGCUCAUCACAUCCUGGGGCUGAAGUAGGUCCCAAGGGUAUGGCUGUUCGCCAUUUAAAGUGGUACGCGAGCUGGGUUUAGAACGUCGUGAGACAGUUCGGUCCCUAUCUGCCGUGGGCGCUGGAGAACUGAGGGGGGCUGCUCCUAGUACGAGAGGACCGGAGUGGACGCAUCACUGGUGUUCGGGUUGUCAUGCCAAUGGCACUGCCCGGUAGCUAAAUGCGGAAGAGAUAAGUGCUGAAAGCAUCUAAGCACGAAACUUGCCCCGAGAUGAGUUCUCCCUGAGACUUUAGGUCUCCUGAAGGAACGUUGAAGACGACGACGUUGAUAGGCCGGGUGUGUAAGCGCAGCGAUGCGUUGAGCUAACCGGUACUAAUGAACCGUGAGGCUUAACCUU